CGAUCUCGUCUGAUCUCGGAAGCUAAGCAGGGUUUGGCCUGGUUAGUACUUGGAUGGGAGACCACCUGGGAAUACCAGGUGCUGUAAGCU
Molecule: ribosomal RNA, 90 nt
Filed under: Astyanax mexicanus (Mexican tetra)
Lineage: Eukaryota; Metazoa; Chordata; Actinopteri; Characiformes; Acestrorhamphidae
Source: RNAcentral